This 507-nucleotide ribosomal RNA is filed under the name uncultured bacterium. RNAcentral describes it as "partial 16S ribosomal RNA". It matches the Rfam family "Bacterial small subunit ribosomal RNA", at positions 29 to 523 of the family's 1533-position model. The record is from RNAcentral.
AUUGAACGCUGGCGGCAGGCCUAACACAUGCAGGUCGAGCGGCAGCGGGAAAGUAGCUUGCUACUUUUGCCGGCGAGCGGCGGACGGGUGAGUAAUGCCUGGGGAUCUGCCCAGUCGCGGGGGAUAACUACUGGAAACGGUAGCUAAUACCGCAUACGCCCUACGGGGGAAAGCAGGGGACUCCCGGGCCUUGCGCGUCUGGAUGACCCCAGGUGGGAUUAGGUAGUUGGUGAGGUAAUGGAUCACCAAGGCGACGAUCCCUAGCUGGUCUAGAGGAUGAUCAGCCACACUGGAACUGAGACACGGUCCAGACUCCUACGGGAGGCAGCAGUGGGGAAUAUUGCACAAUGGGGGAAACCCUGAUGCAGCCAUGCCGCGUGUGUGAAGAAGGCCUUCGGGUUGUAAAGCACUUUCAGCGAGGAGGAAAGGUUGGUAGCUAAUAACUGCCAGCUGUGACGUUACUCGCAGAAGAAGCACCGGCUAACUCCGUGCCAGCCGCCGCAGUAA